CGCCUUCCCUCGCCUCAGCUAAGCAAACCCCAAACUCUCCGAAGUCUUCCUGUGCAGCCGGAAGACUUUUCCAUCCGUUCAGCUUCGCUCAGGUGCCCCAAAGUGCCUUGAUCGCCCCCCUUCUUUUGUUAAAUAAGGGACCAUCUUUCCCCCGCACCACCAUGCCAGGACCGACAUUGCUACAACAUUUGGGAAGCAUAUGAAAAUAGAAAGAGGCGUCGCUCUGCGCAGCAGCAGCAGUGUCGUGUGGAUGCACUCUGGUGAAGCAGCACAGUGUAAGCAAAGACCCGCUGAAAGCGAGCUAGCGAGUGAGGGAUGCUUACCCAAAAACUAGAGCCGCAAAAGUCGUCCAUGGUGCCCAUCUGAACAGCGGGNGGGCCAGCUCGUGGGACCCCGGGAGAGGAGCCCCGCCCGCCACGACCGGUCUCGUCCCGCCGCUUGUUUCGAGUUGUUCCUUCUCCAAGAGCAGCAGCUGCCUUGCCUGACGCCCCGCUUCCCUUCCGCCAGGCAGUCUAGGGCGGAUGUUCGCCUCAGGAAGGUGGGCGGGGAACGAAUGGACUUGCCUCAGCGUCCGUGCCGUUGAAGUUGUUAAGCCCCGUCGUCGUGCAGAAAAGGGGGGUCUUUCCCUGCGGCGGGGGGAGCUGAUGAUUGCUGCUGCCCCUGCUCGUGUGAGGGAGCGCGCCGCCGACGGAGCGGAGCCUGUUGCUGCUGAAAGCCAUUCACUUCAGGGCGCCUCGUUGGAAAGGAAUAGAAUUUCUCCAUAA
RNAcentral lists this long non-coding RNA (764 nucleotides) under Salvator merianae (Argentine black and white tegu). RNAcentral's name for it is "lncRNA (ENSSMRG00000023286.1)". Lineage: Eukaryota; Metazoa; Chordata; Lepidosauria; Squamata; Teiidae. The record is from RNAcentral.